This 462-nucleotide ribosomal RNA is filed under the name uncultured bacterium. RNAcentral describes it as "partial 16S ribosomal RNA". It matches the Rfam family "Bacterial small subunit ribosomal RNA", at positions 28 to 507 of the family's 1533-position model. The record is from RNAcentral.
GACGAACGCUGGCGGCGUGCUUAACACAUGCAAGUCGAGCGGAAAGGCCCUUCGGGGUACUCGAGCGGCGAACGGGUGAGUAACACGUGAGUAACCUGCCCCAGACUUUGGGAUAACCCUCGGAAACGGGGGCUAAUACCGGAUACGACACAGCUUCGCAUGGGGUCUGUGUGGAAAGUUUUUCGGUUUGGGAUGGGCUCGCGGCCUAUCAGCUUGUUGGUGGGGUGAUGGCCUACCAAGGCGACGACGGGUAGCCGGCCUGAGAGGGCGACCGGCCACACUGGGACUGAGACACGGCCCAGACUCCUACGGGAGGCAGCAGUGGGGAAUAUUGCACAAUGGGCGGAAGCCUGAUGCAGCGACGCCGCGUGAGGGAUGACGGCCUUCGGGUUGUAAACCUCUUUCAGCAGGGACGAAGCGUAAGUGACGGUACCUGCAGUAGAAGCGCCGGCCAACUACGUG